GGGCGGGUGGCGGAAUUGGUAGACGCACCGCACUCAAAAUGCGGCGGCUUCGGUCAUAAGAGUUCAAGUCUCUUCCCGCCCACUA
Molecule: transfer RNA, 85 nt
Filed under: Oscillatoriales cyanobacterium CG2_30_40_61
Lineage: Bacteria; Bacillati; Cyanobacteriota; Cyanophyceae; Oscillatoriales
Also listed under: 1 other name
Description: tRNA-Leu
Rfam family: tRNA
About the family: Transfer RNA (tRNA) molecules are approximately 80 nucleotides in length. Their secondary structure includes four short double-helical elements and three loops (D, anti-codon, and T loops).
Source: RNAcentral